Molecule: ribosomal RNA, 253 nt
Filed under: Proteomonas sulcata
Lineage: Eukaryota; Cryptophyceae; Pyrenomonadales; Geminigeraceae
Description: partial Bacterial large subunit ribosomal RNA
Rfam family: Bacterial large subunit ribosomal RNA
Source: RNAcentral
AAGAAAUCAACAGAGAUUCCCUUAGUAGUGGCGAGCGAACGGGGACUAGCCCUUAAGUGGCUUUGAGAUUAGCGGAACGCUCUGGAAAGUGCGGCCAUAGUGGGUGAUAGCCCUGUACGCGAAAAUCUCUUAGUCAUGAAAUCGAGUAGGACGGAGCACGAGAAACUUUGUCUGAAUAUGGGGGGACCAUCCUCCAAGGCUAAAUACUCGUUGCCGACCGAUAGUGAACCAGUACCGUGAGGGAAAGGCGAAA